Molecule: long non-coding RNA, 184 nt
Organism: Stegastes partitus (bicolor damselfish)
Lineage: Eukaryota; Metazoa; Chordata; Actinopteri; Pomacentridae
Exons: 3
Source: RefSeq, a predicted model, not a curated record
UAUCAGCUUCAGCUGCUUUUGUUCUGGGCUUGAUAUGUACAUUUCACAUCAAAACACUUCAUCUCUGGGACACACAACCCGUCUCCUUCCUAAGCAGCAUGAUGGCUGGACAUUCCAAUGGUGUUUAUAUUUGUGUAUAAUUGUUUGAACCUUCAGGCACCUGGAAAUGGUACCCAAGGACGAA